UUGGCAGGCUGAGGGAGGGUCCCGUCUGCUGGUCCUCCCCUCACAGCAGGUUGUGUGGCCCGGUCGGAGUCCGGGGGAACACACGGUCGUUGCCCUCAGUAACUCAGUGUGUGUUUGGCUGGCGAGGGGUCGGGCACGCUUGUCUUCUCUCUGACCUUCUCGUCACUGGUUCGCCCUAAGCACAGUAUAUCUGCCGCCGUGGCCGACGCUAGCGGUCCUCUGCGAUGCACCCGGGACACUGUGGAAUUACGAAAGAGAAAGAUAUGAAGUCGGAAUAAGCGCCGGGAAUAACUGGAUUGAUACUAGAUGGGAAUAGAACGUAAAGUAAAACGUUCAUUGGCCUGUACUACUCAAGUGUGAAAUAAAGUGCUGUGUGCAAAACAGUGGAUAUAGUGAUAACUCUGUGGUGUUUGAUCAUUAAGAUUUUACAUUCGAGAGAACAUUUUUUGCUGAAAGAGGAAGAUGCUGCGAUGUGAGUGAUAUGGUGAUUGAAAAAGCCACGAGUUCAGGUAAGUGAGA
This is a non-coding RNA of Penaeus vannamei (Pacific white shrimp), 519 nucleotides long. The record is from RefSeq and is a predicted model, not a curated record. Lineage: Eukaryota; Metazoa; Arthropoda; Malacostraca; Decapoda; Penaeidae.